CCUACGGGUGGCUGCAGUGGGGAAUAUUGGGCAAUGGAGGAAACUCUGACCCAGCAACGCCGCGUGAAUGAUGAAGGUCCUCGGAUUGUAAAGUUUCUUUUAUAGGGAAGUAGAAAGUGACGGUACUUCAGGUAUAAGUCUCGUCUAACUAUGUGCCAGCAGCCGCGGCAAUACGGAGGAGGCGAGCGUUAUCCGGAUGGACUGGUUUUAAAGGGUGAGUAGGUGGGUUGGUAAGUUAGUGGUGUAAGUUUGUGGGUGAACCGGAAAAGUGAAACGAAUACUGGCGGCCUUGAGUACAGGUGAGGUAGGCGGAAUUCGUGGUGGAGCGGUGAAAGGCUGAGAUAGCACGAAGAACGACGAGUGAGAAGGCAGAGGAAUAAAAGGCCACGGAAAUUGAUGCUCGAAAGUGGGGGUAUCAAACAGGAUUAGAUACCCGUGUAGUC
RNAcentral lists this ribosomal RNA (443 nucleotides) under uncultured bacterium. Its description in RNAcentral is "partial 16S ribosomal RNA". It matches the Rfam family "Bacterial small subunit ribosomal RNA", at positions 338 to 795 of the family's 1533-position model. The record is from RNAcentral.